GCUGCCAGCCCCGGCGGGGCACCGCGGGCACCUCGGGCUCCGGCUCGGUGCCCUGCUGGCCUCGCAGCCUCCGUGCUCUGUAUUUCAGCCCGAGCUGCUGGCGGCGGCCGUGCUGCGCUCCCGGCCCGCGGCUCUGCCUCUCUGGCCGGCCUUCCAGCGCCACCCAGGGAGCGGCUCCGUGACCCGAAGGGCUCCGCCGUGUGCUUUCCCUGCGCCGGAGCCAAGGGCGAGGAAGCGGCCACAGCCCACGGGGCUGCUCUUGGGAUGGAGCCGAGCAUCCGCUGUGAACGAGCCCCUGAGCACGGCUCGGAUUCGUGAGGAUACUGGUUGCCACCCUGCCACACGUGUAAAGACUCUGCAGAAGUUUUGAAGAAAGGACUUCUGGGGCUGCCUGAAGCAGCAACAGAUAGAACCACUGCCAGAACUAGACUCUGGGGACCAGCAGUCUCAAGGACUGAGCAACAGCUUUCCACUGAAAUAAUCAUUGUUUUUCCAGGAAGCUUCACUGGAGAUGCCACAUGCAAUCAGGAUUUUACACGGGGCAAGAACCACAGGUACAAGAGUGCAGGGCCUGCUGAAGGGCAUCAGCUGCUCUGGCUGAGGUCAGGAACUGCUGUGCCAGCUCAAGCUUCCACUGUGGCACCAUUCCAGGUCCAGAUUCUGGUUUGUAUUUCUUGCCACAUCACGAGAGAAUGAGAAAAGCAGAUGAAAGGUGAAAAACUGAAAAUGGGAAAUGAACCAGCUAUGCCAUCUUAAAGAAGCAGGAACAAAAAAAACAGAUUUACUGUUUCCAAACAUACAAUCUCAGGGGAUGGGAAUACAACCGUGCUUGAAAGGUAUCUCUGGACAAAAGUGCACAGAGAACAGCUCCAUAAAAAAGAUCAGCAGCCAUCCUGUAGUGAAUGGUGCAUGCCUUCUGUGUGGCUUCACAUAAGACCUUCAACCAUGAGGUGUCCCAGGCUUCCCAAGGAAAAAUUGAGAAUAACCUUGUGUCACCAAGCAUAGUUCUAAUAUAAUUCUGCUUACCACAGAGUAACAUAAACAAAACAAUGUUAUUUUAUUAGGUGCCUAUUCCAGCAGAUUUCUGCUUAAAGGAGGAGAAAGCAGUGCUUGUUUUCUGUAGGAACUGGCUCUACAUUACAACCCUGAAAGCUCAGCUUUCCUGCCUGGUUCCAGCUCUGUCAGAAGGAGCUAAAGGGUAGAUACCAGUCAGACAACACACUGAUGGAAGAGAUGUCAGCUUCCCAAAAUCACUGCCUCUCUGGGAAUUAUUUUAACUCUCUUGAUCUCCAAGAACUACCAUGCCUUAGAGAGGAAUGUUUCAGAGUUGAGGGGAAAAAGAGAAGAACAAGCUUGGAAAGCAAACAAACUACACUGGAAGCCAAUACUUGUUCAUGUGGUUAUGUGCUUGCCUCCUCCCAUGGCCUGAGCUAGCUUUUGGCUCUACUCUUUGGAGCAGACUGAACAAAGAUAAUCCCCAAGCAGUGAAUCCCACCAUUCUCAGAGGACUGCAGGUGCCCUGGUCACCACUUUAACUGAAGAAAUUACAUGUAGCUUCUUUGUGAAUUUGUCUUAUGUUUAGCUCCAUCAGGAUCAGCAAGUUAACUUUUCAGGUUCCCAUUUCUGGGACAUUCUUCUCCCCUUUGUUCUGCUACUUCCUUGUUCUUGACAUCUGUAUGAACAUUUGCAAUAACACAGAAUAAAAAAUUCAAUUUUAAAGCUGUUUCCCUGAGGUGUAAGGGUCAUUCUAUCAGCCUGCCUUGAUCUGAUACGCAAGGCCUGGGUGACCAUCACAAAUAACACGUUUCAAAAGCUGUGGUCCUGCAGAUCUGAGGGUCUGCGGAGAGCCUGCAGACUGCAAGUCCUGUUCUGUCCUUCCUGGAAAAAUUUUUGUUUAGUAUCUUGGAUUCCUAUUCAAGUGCUGGGCUGGCCAUGCCACUGGUAGGGAGAUCAAGAGCCAGAGCUAUUAGCACUCAGCAUUAACACUGGGCAGGAAUUAUUUUGGCUCUGCAGCAAGGUUUCCCUGCCACCUCUUGUCCCCAGUUUUCUCUGCUGAGGCAACAACUUAAUGGGGAUCAACCCCAGCAGGGUGGAGCACUAUCACAUCCCAACACCAGUGACACAGAGGGGGCAACUGUUCCCAUGGGAAUGAAAUCCCACAUUUUAAUGGCAAGCACAUCUAAUAUACCUCUUCUAGGAGUGUGUGUGGAGACUCCUCCCUUCACUCCCCUCAAGGCUGAGCAGAAUAGAUUUGCCCACAGUUGUUGGUAUGGCUGAAUAACAUCAGUCUCUACUUAAUUGUUUUGCCAGCUUUAAUAUUGCUGUUUCAAUAUUGCUUCAAUAAAUAGUGCACUGCACUAAUAGUUAUAACUAUCUGUACUGUGCAGUAAAUCAUUCUGAUUAAGGUAUUUUAGUUUAAUCAUUAUAAU
Cyanistes caeruleus (blue tit) is the source of this 2429-nucleotide non-coding RNA. Lineage: Eukaryota; Metazoa; Chordata; Aves; Passeriformes; Paridae. The record is from RefSeq and is a predicted model, not a curated record.